This is a long non-coding RNA of Notolabrus celidotus (New Zealand spotty), 1144 nucleotides long. RefSeq lists it as uncharacterized. The record is from RefSeq and is a predicted model, not a curated record. The transcript has 2 exons. Lineage: Eukaryota; Metazoa; Chordata; Actinopteri; Labriformes; Labridae.
UGCGGUACUUAUUAAAAACAUGUCUAUAUCCAGGAGAUAACAGCACAGCUCCUGUUUGGUGAAGCUAAGCUGCAGAUGGAAUCAUGAGAAACAGAAAUCCUACCCCUGUUUUCACUGCUCCACCUCGACAUAAGAGCGUACUUUCCUUUUGCACAUCACAGUUGUUGAUGAAGUCAUUACUUUGAGCUACAUGUGACUGCAGGUGGAUGCAAGAAGGUUUGAGCACAGCACUGAUUCAGGGUAGCGGCUGCAAAGAGAGGACAGGAAGCGACGGAGAUCUUGCAGCUUAAACGCAACGCCAAAUUUGCAGGAUGCAUCUGCCAAGAGAUUGUCUGAAUGACGCACGUCAAGCUCAGCAGGCGCAGCUCCAUUUAUGACUUCAUCAAUAAUGAUAUUUUUUUCAAUACUACUGCAUAAUGACUUCCAUAACCUGCGGGCAUUGAUUGUAAGGGUUCAAGCAUGACGACGGUUCCUCAGUAGCAGAUCACAGAGCUCUAAAUGUGAAGCUAAAAGACGAGUUAAAAGAAGAGAGGGAGGAGGACGGAGGUCAGAGGAGCGUGAGGAGGAGAUGGAUAGAUGUGUGUAAAUGUUACUUCUCCAGCAGCAGGAGAAGGCCAGGAGUGACACUUAUGUCACACUUGGUGCUCUGCCUCUCCCUCUAUCUCCUCCCCUCCCUCCCUCGCUCGACUUCUCAUGCGGCUGUCCUGUGACGACGAGCAGACGUGGAGGUUAGCAUCACCGAGAGGAUGGAGGGGGCUCGGACAUAAAUAGAAACUGACCUAUCGUGAACACACGCUGAUGGUUACUGAGCAGGAGGAUUAAAACAUAACCACUGAAGGCUUUAGAGUGUGAUGACGUCCCUGUGGAUUCAUGGAACUGGUGUCCUCCACUCAGAUAGCCAAACACUCUGUUCCUCUCCGACAUGAAGAAGUAUAAUCAGGCAUCUCAGGUCGGCUCAGCUUUACCUGCACAGGGUCUGAGCAAAGAGGCUGAACCAUGAGCAGAAGAGAUGAGAGACCUGGACCUGAAGCUGCAUCCAAUGGAUACACAAGGAGCAGACUUAAAAAUGAUUUGUGAAGAUUUCUUCAAAUCCUGCAAAACUGGUCCUGAAUAAAAAGCCCCGGUUCAUUCUGGCUUAAAUGUA